Molecule: non-coding RNA, 107 nt
Filed under: Latilactobacillus sakei
Lineage: Bacteria; Bacillati; Bacillota; Bacilli; Lactobacillales; Lactobacillaceae
Description: Lactobacillus sakei TPP
Rfam family: TPP riboswitch aptamer (THI element)
About the family: Vitamin B(1) in its active form thiamin pyrophosphate (TPP) is an essential coenzyme that is synthesised by coupling of pyrimidine and thiazole moieties in bacteria. The previously detected thiamin-regulatory element, thi box was extended, resulting in a new, highly conserved RNA secondary structure, the THI element, which is widely distributed in eubacteria and also occurs in some archaea. Analysis of operon structures identified a large number of new candidate thiamin-regulated genes, mostly transporters, in various prokaryotic organisms.
Source: RNAcentral
GCUUUGCACUAGGGGUGUUCUUAGAAGAACUGAGAUAGGUUUUGUACAACCUGAUCCCUUUGAACCUGUAAGUUCAGACUUGCGUAGGAAAGUGCCUUUCUCUAUUA